Molecule: ribosomal RNA, 749 nt
Filed under: uncultured Alphaproteobacteria bacterium
Lineage: Bacteria; Pseudomonadati; Pseudomonadota; Alphaproteobacteria
Description: bacterial SSU rRNA
Rfam family: Bacterial small subunit ribosomal RNA
Source: RNAcentral
AACGAACUAUUUAUAGUUAGUGGCAGACGGGUGAGGAACGCGUGGGAACGUACCCCAAAGUUCGGAAUAACUAUUGGAAACGAUAGCUAAUACCGGAUGUGACCGAGAGGUUAAAGGUUUACCGCUUUGGGAGCGGCCCGCGUUAGAUUAGCUAGUUGGUGGGGUAAAGGCCUACCAAGGCAAUGAUCUAUAGCUGGUCUGAGAGGAUGACCAGCCACACUGGGACUGAGACACGGCCCAGACUCCUACGGGAGGCAGCAGUGGGGAAUAUUGGACAAUGGGGGCAACCCUGAUCCAGCAAUGCCGCGUGAAUGAUGAAGGCCUUAGGGUUGUAAAGUUCUUUUAUUGAUGACGAUAAUGACGGUAAUCAAUGAAUAAGCACCGGCUAACUUCGUGCCAGCAGCCGCGGUAAUACGAAGGGUGCUAGCGUUGUUCGGAAUGACUGGGCGUAAAGGGUGCGUAGGCGGCCAGAAGCGUCUGAUGUGAAAUCCCUGGGCUUAACCUAGGAACUGCAUUGGAUACGGUCUGGCUAGAGUCCGCGAGAGGAAGAUGGAAUUGUGCGUGUAGAGGUGAAAUUCGUAGAUAUGCACAAGAACACCGGUGGCGAAGGCGAUCUUCUGGAGCGGUACUGACGCUAAGGCACGAAAGUGUGGGGAGCAAACAGGAUUAGAUACCCUGGUAGUCCACACUGUAAACGAUGAAUGUUAGAUGUCGGGGAGGUUACUCUUCGGUAUCGCAGCUAACGCAUU